GGGGAGCCUAUACUGCAGUCGAGCGAGCUUGCCUAGAUGAUUUUAGUGCUUGCACUAAAUGAAACUAGAUACAAGCGAGCGGCGGACGGGUGAGUAACACGUGGGUAACCUGCCCAAGAGACUGGGAUAACACCUGGAAACAGAUGCUAAUACCGGAUAACAACACUAGACGCAUGUCUAGAGUUUGAAAGAUGGUUCUGCUAUCACUCUUGGAUGGACCUGCGGUGCAUUAGCUAGUUGGUAAGGUAACGGCUUACCAAGGCAAUGAUGCAUAGCCGAGUUGAGAGACUGAUCGGCCACAUUGGGACUGAGACACGGCCCAAACCCCUACGGGAGGCAGCAGUAGGGAAUCUUCCACAAUGGACGAAAGUCUGAUGGAGCAACGCCGCGUGAGUGAAGAAGGGUUUCGGCUCGUAAAGCUCUGUUGGUAGUGAAGAAAGAUAGAGGUAGUAACUGGCCUUUAUUUGACGGUAAUUACUUAGAAAGUCACGGCUAACUACGUGCCAGCAGCCGCGGUAAUACGUAGGUGGCAAGCGUUGUCCGGAUUUAUUGGGCGUAAAGCGAGUGCAGGCGGUUCAAUAAGUCUGAUGUGAAAGCCUUCGGCUCAACCGGAGAAUUGCAUCAGAAACUGUUGAACUUGAGUGCAGAAGAGGAGAGUGGAACUCCAUGUGUAGCGGUGGAAUGCGUAGAUAUAUGGAAGAACACCAGUGGCGAAGGCGGCUCUCUGGUCUGCAACUGACGCUGAGGCUC
This 750-nucleotide ribosomal RNA is filed under the name uncultured bacterium. RNAcentral's name for it is "bacterial SSU rRNA". It matches the Rfam family "Bacterial small subunit ribosomal RNA", at positions 41 to 754 of the family's 1533-position model. The record is from RNAcentral.